ACGUAGGUAAUCUACCUUCGAGUGGGGAAUAACUUGUGGAAACGCAAGCUAAUACCGCAUAACAUCGAAAGAUCAAAGCUUUAUGUGCCUGAAGAGGAGCCUGCGGCAGAUUAGCUAGUUGGUAAGGUAACGGCUUACCAAGGCGACGAUCUGUAUCCGGUCUAAGAGGACGGUCGGACACACUGACACUGAACAUACGGGUCAGACUCCUACGGGAGGCAGCAGUCGGGAAUUUUGGGCAAUGGGGGCAACCCUGACCCAGCAACGCCGCGUGAAGGAUGAAGUCUUUCGGGAUGUAAA
Molecule: ribosomal RNA, 300 nt
Filed under: uncultured Chloracidobacterium sp.
Lineage: Bacteria; Pseudomonadati; Acidobacteriota; Blastocatellia; Chloracidobacteriales; Chloracidobacteriaceae
Description: bacterial SSU rRNA
Rfam family: Bacterial small subunit ribosomal RNA
Source: RNAcentral